Molecule: ribosomal RNA, 460 nt
Filed under: uncultured Bacteroidota bacterium
Lineage: Bacteria; Pseudomonadati; Bacteroidota
Description: bacterial SSU rRNA
Rfam family: Bacterial small subunit ribosomal RNA
Source: RNAcentral
CCUACGGGCGGCUGCAGUGAGGAAUAUUGCGCAAUGGAGGCAACUCUGACGCAGCCAUGCCGCGUGCAGGAUGAAGGCGCUACGCGUUGUAAACUGCUUUUAACCGGGAAGAAACCCCAGGACGUGUCCUGGGUUGACGGUACCGGAGGAAUAAGCACCGGCUAACUUCGUGCCAGCAGCCGCGGUAAUACGAAGGGUGCAAGCGUUAUCCGGAUUCAUUGGGUUUAAAGGGUGCGUAGGCGGAGCGUUAAGUCAGUGGUGAAAUCCCGCAGCUCAACUGUGGAAUUGCCAUUGAUACUGGCGCUCUUGAGUGCGGUUGACGUGGGCGGAAUGUGCCGUGUAGCGGUGAAAUGCUUAGAUAUGGCACAGAACACCGAUCGCGAAGGCAGCUCGCGAAGCCGCAACUGACGCUGAGGCACGAAAGCGUGGGGAUCGAACAGGAUUAGAUACCCCGGUAGUC